GAUGAACGCUGGCGGCGUGCCUAAUACAUGCAAGUCGAGCGAACAGAUAAGGAGCUUGCUCCUUUGACGUUAGCGGCGGACGGGUGAGUAACACGUGGGUAACCUACCUAUAAGACUGGAAUAACUCCGGGAAACCGGGGCUAAUGCCGGAUAACAUUUAGAACCGCAUGGUUCUAAAGUGAAAGAUGGUUUUGCUAUCACUUAUAGAUGGACCCGCGCCGUAUUAGCUAGUUGGUAAGGUAACGGCUUACCAAGGCAACGAUACGUAGCCGACCUGAGAGGGUGAUCGGCCACACUGGAACUGAGACACGGUCCAGACUCCUACGGGAGGCAGCAGUAGGGAAUCUUUCGCAAUGGGCGAAAGCCUGACGGAGCAACGCCGCGUGAGUGAUGAAGGUCUUCGGAUCGUAAAACUCUGUUAUUAGGGAAGAACAAAUGUGUAAGUAACUGUGCACGUCUUGACGGUACCUAAUCAGAAAGCCACGGCUAACUACGUG
This 497-nucleotide ribosomal RNA is filed under the name uncultured bacterium. Its description in RNAcentral is "partial 16S ribosomal RNA". It matches the Rfam family "Bacterial small subunit ribosomal RNA", at positions 28 to 507 of the family's 1533-position model. The record is from RNAcentral.